AACGAACGCUGGCGGCAUGCCUAACACAUGCAAGUCGAACGAGACCUUCGGGUCUCGUGGCGCACGGGUUCGUAACGCGCGGGAACCUGCCCUUAGGUUCGGAAUAACUCCUCGAAAGGGGUGCUAAUACCGGAUAAUGUCUCCGGACCCACGGUUGAUCGCCUUAGGAUGGGCCCGCGUUGUAUUAGCUAGUUGGUAGGCGUAAAGCCUACGAAGGCGACGAUCCAUAGAUGGUCUGUGAGGAAGAGCCGCCACACUGGGACGGGGACACGGUCCAGACUCCUGCGGGAGGCGGGAGAGGGGGAUAUUGGACAAUGGGGUAAAGCCUGAACCAGCAAGGCCGGGAGAGUGAUGUAGGUCGGAGGGUAGUAAAGCUCUUUUACCCGGGAUGAUAAUGACAGUACCGGAAGAAUAAGCACCGGCUAACUCCGUG
RNAcentral lists this ribosomal RNA (433 nucleotides) under uncultured bacterium. RNAcentral describes it as "partial 16S ribosomal RNA". It matches the Rfam family "Bacterial small subunit ribosomal RNA", at positions 29 to 507 of the family's 1533-position model. The record is from RNAcentral.